Molecule: long non-coding RNA, 626 nt
Organism: Aphis gossypii (cotton aphid)
Lineage: Eukaryota; Metazoa; Arthropoda; Insecta; Hemiptera; Aphididae
Exons: 5
Source: RefSeq, a predicted model, not a curated record
UUCGGCAAGUAUUCAAAUUUUAUUUCUGUGACCUAUGGAAACUUUAUGUAUAAACAAAAAAUUAUUCAAUUUUAAUAAGCUAAAUCGAAAUUCGCACGUAAGAUAUCUUUUAAUCAACUUAUAAGGAUUAUUUUCAGAAUUAAAAAGUGGAAGAUCAUUUAAUCAAUCACCGUAAUUUUAUUGUUUUUAAGAUUUUGUGUUGUAUAUUUCAACUGAAGCAAAACGAUUGACGAUAAUAAAAAAAAUAGAUCCAUUUUAAACUAGACCUUUACUCCAAACCCAUUUGUCUGUAAUAUACGAUGAGCCAUGAGUUAAUAGUUUAAUAAUUAUAAUACCUAAAUCCUUAGUAUUCAAAUAUAUAAUGUAUUAAUUUUGAUGACGAUAUACGGCUUCGUGAUUGGAAUACUUGCAGUGAAGAAUCACUCCAAAAUUGUAACAUAUAGCUUUUGAAUGACUCUGUACAAUUAUACGAUUGGACCUAAUAUUCAAUAAUAAUGGCUUACACCGACGAACCGCCCUAUUUCAAUUGGAAAUAUGAAUUCGAGCAGUUGUUUCGUGUGGAAAAUAAUUUGACAAUCUGGAAAUAACAAUAUUAUAAAAUAUUCAACCGUUUCAAUUGCACGACA